CGCUAUCACUCCUACGGGAGGCAGCAGUAGGGAAUCUUCCACAAUGGGCGCAAGCCUGAUGGAGCAACACCGCGUGAGUGAAGAAGGGUUUCGGCUCGUAAAGCUCUGUUGUUAAAGAAGAACACGUAUGAGAGUAACUGUUCAUACGUUGACGGUAUUUAACCAGAAAGUCACGGCUAACUACGUGCCAGCAGCCGCGGUAAUACGUAGGUGGCAAGCGUUAUCCGGAUUUAUUGGGCGUAAAGAGAGUGCAGGCGGUUUUCUAAGUCUGAUGUGAAAGCCUUCGGCUUAACCGGAGAAGUGCAUCGGAAACUGGAUAACUUGAGUGCAGAAGAGGGUAGUGGAACUCCAUGUGUAGCGGUGGAAUGCGUAGAUAUAUGGAAGAACACCAGUGGCGAAGGCGGCUACCUGGUCUGCAACUGACGCCGAGACUCGAAAGCAUGGGUAGCGAACAGGAUUAGAUACCCUGGUAG
Molecule: ribosomal RNA, 473 nt
Filed under: uncultured bacterium
Lineage: Bacteria
Description: bacterial SSU rRNA
Rfam family: Bacterial small subunit ribosomal RNA
Source: RNAcentral